CGACCGAGAGCGUAGCUCAGAUGGUAGAGCACUCGCUUAGCACGCAAGAGGUACGGGACUUGAUACCCCGCGCGUCGA
This is a non-coding RNA of Trichonephila clavipes, 78 nucleotides long. NCBI's taxonomy places the organism in Eukaryota, Metazoa, Arthropoda, Arachnida, Araneae, Nephilidae. The record is from the annotation of a GenBank genome assembly.